UCUAGUAUGGCAGAUAAGUGCAACGGAUUUAAGCUUCGUAUAUAAAGAAUCUAUUAACCUUUUAUUAGAA
RNAcentral lists this transfer RNA (70 nucleotides) under Eupolyphaga sinensis. RNAcentral's name for it is "tRNA-Leu". Lineage: Eukaryota; Metazoa; Arthropoda; Insecta; Blattodea; Corydiidae. The record is from RNAcentral. RNAcentral also lists the same sequence under 1 other name.